GACGAACGCUGGCGGCGUGCUUAACACAUGCAAGUCGAGCGGUAAGGCUCCUUCGGGAGUACACGAGCGGCGAACGGGUGAGUAACACGUGAGUAACCUGCCCCUUUCAUCGGAAUAACCAGUGGAAACGCUGGCUAAUGCCGAAUACGACCACCGAAGGCAUCUUCUGGUGGUGGAAAGCUCCGGCGGAAAGGGAUGGACUCGCGGCCUAUCAGCUUGUUGGUGAGGUAAUGGCUCACCAAGGCAACGACGGGUAGCCGGCCUGAGAGGGUGACCGGCCACACUGGGACUGAGACACGGCCCAGACUCCUACGGGAGGCAGCAGUGGGGAAUAUUGGACAAUGGGCGAAAGCCUGAUCCAGCAACGCCGCGUGAGGGAUGACGGCCUUCGGUUGUAACCUCUUUCAGUAGGACGAAGCGAAAGUGACGGUACUACAGAAGAAGGACGGCCAACUACGUGCCAGCAGCCGCGGUAAAAGUACGUACUAAU
RNAcentral lists this ribosomal RNA (490 nucleotides) under uncultured bacterium. RNAcentral describes it as "bacterial SSU rRNA". It matches the Rfam family "Bacterial small subunit ribosomal RNA", at positions 28 to 538 of the family's 1533-position model. The record is from RNAcentral.